GAAGGCAAGUACAAACACAUCAGCACACACACACACACACACACAGGCACACACACACACACACACACACACACACACACACAGCCUACGCAAAUUUUGCUUUUUUAUCACAGGUGCAUUAAGCACAUAUAUUUUUACAGUUCAUAUGGCAUUAACCCGUACUUGAGUCGUGAGAGCAACAAGAAGCAGGAUGUCACGUAUAGGACCUAAAAGUACACGGUGUGCAUCACAGCAAGUUAGCACAUGGGCUACUGACUGCUUGGCACCAUAAAUAAACCUUUACAGAACUGCACAGUGUAGAAUAUAUUGCAGAAUGUAGAAGAGCAAGAAGAAUUCAAAAUCUAAGAAGACCUUUACAGAAGACACCAAGCUUUCAGAAGCAACAUUUGUUUUUCAAUAUCCACUGUAAUAAAUUUAUCUCACAGAAACAUGUUUAUUUCAGUUUUGAUUUUGUUUGCAGUGAUUACCCAUCUAUGGGUGAGGCCCUCUUUGAGGAGCUCAGGGUCUUGUCAACAGUAUCACAAACAUAAAGUAGCACAUAACUGUGAAGUAGAAGGAAAAGGAUACAUGGCUUCAUUUUUUUUCAUAUACAAAUCCGAUUUGUGUGUAUAUGCCUCAGUAAUUGUUCUAUGAAGGUCUCAGAGGUUUGUUGGGGAACAUUAGUUAACAACAGCAUAAGACCAAGGAACACAGCAGAUAGGUCAGAGAGAAAGUUGUGGAUAAGUUUAAUGUGAACAUCUCAGAAAGCUCUCCUCAAUUCGUCAUCUGCAAAUGGAAAAAGUAUGGUACAUCUCUAAGCCUACCAAAGCACUGGAGGCUGCCUUAACUGACAGUCAGCUGGGGAAGGCCAGCAUCAGAUAGCCAAAGGGUUUAUGUUAACUCUGGAGGAGAUGCAAAGAUCCACAGCUCAGGUGUGAGAAUGUGUUAACAGGACAACUAUUAGUUGUGCAUUCCACAAAUCAGGUCUUUAUGGAAGAGUGGUAAGAAAAAAGUCAUUGUUGAAAUUAAGCCCUAAGAAGUCAUGUUUGUAGUUCGCCACAAGCCACGUAGGAGACGCAAACAUUUGGAAGACGGUGCUUUGAUCAGAUAAGAUCAAAUUUAACUUUCUGGCCAACAUGCAAAAUGCUUUGUGUCAUAAAAAACUAACACUCCACAUCACCCUGAAAACAUCAUUCCUUGCAUGAAACCUAGCUGUGGCAAAUUGAAGCUGUUGAAUUGGUUCUCUUCGGCAAAAACAUGGGACCCGGUAAGCAUUGAAAGGAAGAUGGUGAACUGUGGAAAAAAAUCUGUUAGAGGCUACAAAAGACUCCGCCCUGGGGUGGAGGUUUACCUUCCAGCAGGACAAUGACUCCAAACAUUCAGCCAGAGCUGCAAUGGAAUAGUUUAGAUCAAAGCAUCUGUUAGAAUGGCCCAGUCAAAGUCUGACCUAAAUCCAAAUGAGAAUGUGACAAGACGAGAAAUUGUUGUUCCUUAUGGUAUUAAUUUAACUUGUCUAUGUUUGAGUUAAAGAUAAUUUUACAAAAAUGUGAGUCUUGGGAUGUGUACAGCUGGUGGAAAUAUACCACCAAUGUCAGAAUCUAUGGUGGCUGUGUGCAGGUUAUGUGUGUGCUGUUUUUUUCUGUUUCUCCAUUUUAGGGUUUGACGGGCAGGUGCUUCUGCACAGGUGUUCCUCAUCUGUCAGCAAUCAGCUGGGCUUCUUUAGUGAGUGGAGAGCCAGAGGAAGGCGUCAGCUCGUUGUUGUUCACUCAGUGAUCCAGCCUAGUUGGGUGUUUCAUGGAUUUUUCUUCACCAGCAGUCUUGAGCCGUUUCUGAAGGAGUGUGAAAGCUCAAAGUUGCAAUGCCUUCAACUUAUGGUCCCUGCUCUGUUCUCCAACUCCAAGCCCAGCCUCUCAAAGAACUCACCAAGCCUAACUCAGAUGAGUAUUCACCUACCUUGUCCACCCUCCAGCGUCCCCCUCAAGUCACAGCGGAGCUUCGCCGCAAAAAAAGGGACAACACCAACUGGAGAUCACUGGAACAAGCCUGCUCACAGCCUGCCAACCACAGACACUGUGGAGAAGGACUUACUCCCCCACCGUCUAGCUCAAACCAGCAACUCAAUUAAUUCCAGUCCGAUCCACCGACCCAGUCCUGGUUCCUGUACAUCCAUUACCCUGGCUUUAAAAAUAAACCGUUUCAAAACAUA
Long non-coding RNA from Girardinichthys multiradiatus, 2185 nucleotides. RefSeq lists it as uncharacterized. The record is from RefSeq and is a predicted model, not a curated record. The transcript has 3 exons. NCBI's taxonomy places the organism in Eukaryota, Metazoa, Chordata, Actinopteri, Cyprinodontiformes, Goodeidae.